Molecule: long non-coding RNA, 434 nt
Organism: Peromyscus leucopus (white-footed mouse)
Lineage: Eukaryota; Metazoa; Chordata; Mammalia; Rodentia; Cricetidae
Exons: 2
Source: RefSeq, a predicted model, not a curated record
GUCAUUUGUGUUGCUGUUGUUAAGAGAGUCCAGGGCAGGGCCUAGGUCUCCAUCAGCUGAGUGGAUCCGAGGGACGUGGAAACAGGGCUCCAUAAACAGCAGGCGUCAGAGCUGCUUUUGCAAUCUUCGAAUUGGUCAGACUCCAGUAUUUUCAUGCAAGAGGGUGAUUGGUAGAAAAAUGAAUCUUCAGCGGGAUAACGAAGGAACUUUAAGGUUCUAAAUUUACAUCUCGCGAAUGCCCAGUGACAUCAGUUUUUCAAAGUUGAAAAUCUUUGAGAAGGAGAUAAAACUUCCGAACCCAAACGACACUUGACAUUUCCCAAAGGAUGCGUGAUGAUCUGGGAGGUUUGGGCGAAAGAGAGGGUGAAUCUGCAUACUAGAUUUUGCGAAAAAGUAUUCAUACCUGUGCUAGGACCAAAUCUGGUGGACCACAA